GACACUGGAAGGAACUGCAGGGCGAGGAGAAGACACGAGGGUACAUACUAGCACAUGUAGUUAAAUAACUUUCUUCAACAGGUAAUACUCAGGAGAAGAGUCAGGCACCAUGGAGGUGCGGGAAUACUCUGGUGCUGGAACACUGGAACUGCCAGGCUUAAGUGCAGGCUGUGAUGAGUGCUGAUGGAAACCAGUGACUAUUGUGCUGCUCCUUCUGGUGUACAUGACUUGGCCGCCUGGGGGGAGUAUAAGACAGAAUUAGAGACACGCAUGAAGAAGUUUCACAACCGACUCGGACAGGAGCGGUUGUACAGGGUACACACACAGAAUGCAGUAUAUAAGGUGUUCUGAUUAAUCAUCUGCUGUAAGUGGCUUGGAACAGAGAGUACAAAGAUAACCUUGGGCACCGAGCCUCAUGCAGCUUAACCAAGACAAAGACAAAGACUUAAUUAUCCAAUCACGUGGAGCAGCCUGCUGAGCUAUAUUUCCAUGACAGUCGCAAUCAGUCCAACUUCCAGUUCCAUGGUCGUGAUCACAUUUUUAUUUUUUUUUGCUAUGCCAUCACAGGUACCUGUCAGCAGUGACAUCACAUUCACACACACACACAACAAAAAUCACCCAAAAGGCAAAACGCACCUGGACGUCUUGAAGUGUGUGUUGCCUUUUUGUGAUGUGUAUUUUUUUAUUGUUUGAUUGGUAUAAUUCGGUGUUGGGCCACUCCUUUAAUCUGGCUCUCCGAGCAUUUGCAUCAGGAGUCCUGUCGUAUUUGUUGCAUUCAUUUGGCAUUGCGUUCAUUCCCCCCCUAAAAUAAGCUUGUUUAUUAGUUACAUAAUUGUUUAAAAUACCUGGAAAAAUAUUACUAAAAUAAACAACUUUCUACAUU
Phyllopteryx taeniolatus (common seadragon) is the source of this 883-nucleotide long non-coding RNA. RefSeq lists it as uncharacterized. The record is from RefSeq and is a predicted model, not a curated record. The transcript has 3 exons. Lineage: Eukaryota; Metazoa; Chordata; Actinopteri; Syngnathiformes; Syngnathidae.